GGAUUAGAUACCCUGGUAGUCCACGCCGUAAACGAUGUCUACUUGCAGCUCGGUUCGUAAGAACGGUUUUGCGAAGCUAACGCGUUAAGUAGACCGCCUGGGGAGUACGGUCGCAAGAUUAAAACUCAAAUGAAUUGACGGGGGCCCGCACAAGCGGUGGAGCAUGUGGUUUAAUUCGAUGCAACGCGAAGAACCUUACCAUCCCUUGACAUCCUGAGAAGUUAGCAGAGAUGCUUUCGUGCCUUCGGGAACUCUGAGACAGGUGCUGCAUGGCUGUCGUCAGCUCGUGUUG
This 292-nucleotide ribosomal RNA is filed under the name uncultured bacterium. Its description in RNAcentral is "partial 16S ribosomal RNA". It matches the Rfam family "Bacterial small subunit ribosomal RNA", at positions 775 to 1067 of the family's 1533-position model. The record is from RNAcentral.